This 431-nucleotide ribosomal RNA is filed under the name uncultured bacterium. RNAcentral's name for it is "partial 16S ribosomal RNA". It matches the Rfam family "Bacterial small subunit ribosomal RNA", at positions 29 to 507 of the family's 1533-position model. The record is from RNAcentral.
AACGAACGCUGGCGGCAGGCUUAACACAUGCAAGUCGAGCGCCCCGCCAGGGGUGCGGCAGACGGGUGAGUAACGCGUGGGAACGUACCCUUAUCUUCGGGCUAGCUCCGGGAAACUGGAAUUAAUACCGAAUGUGCCCUUUGGGGGAAAGAUUUAUCGUAUAAGGAUCGGCCCGCGUUGGAUUAGCUAGUUGGUGGGGUAAAGGCCUACCAAGGCGACGAUCCAUAGCUGGUCUGAGAGGAUGAUCAGCCACAUUGGGACUGAGACACGGCCCAAACUCCUACGGGAGGCAGCAGUGGGGAAUAUUGGACUAGGGGCGCAAGCCUGAUCCAGCCAUGCCGGGUGAGUGAUGAAGGCCUUAGGGUUGUAAAGCUCUUUCAACGGAGAAGAUAAUGACGGUAUCCGGAGAAGAAGCCCCGGCUAACUUCGUG